This 233-nucleotide unclassified non-coding RNA is filed under the name plant metagenome. Its description in RNAcentral is "partial contains small subunit ribosomal RNA, internal transcribed spacer 1, and 5.8S ribosomal RNA". The record is from RNAcentral.
UUUCCGUAGGUGAACCUGCGGAAGGAUCAUUACUGAGUGAGGGCCCUCUGGGUCCAACCUCCCACCCGUGUUUAUUAUACCUUGUUGCUUCGGUGAGCCCGCCUCACGGCCGCCGGGGGGCAUCUGCCCCCGGGCCCGCGCCCACCGAAGACACCUAGAACUCUGUAUGAAGAUUGCAGUCUGAGCAAAAACUAAAUAAGUUAAAACUUUCAACAACGGAUCUCUUGGUUCUG